RNAcentral lists this ribosomal RNA (253 nucleotides) under uncultured bacterium. RNAcentral describes it as "partial 16S ribosomal RNA". It matches the Rfam family "Bacterial small subunit ribosomal RNA", at positions 524 to 776 of the family's 1533-position model. The record is from RNAcentral.
UACGUAGGGGGCAAGCGUUGUCCGGAUUUACUGGGCGUAAAGAGCGUGUAGGCGGCCAAACAGGUCCGUUGUGAAAACUGGAGGCUCAACCUCCAGACGUCGACGGAAACCGUAUGGCUAGAGUCCGGAAGAGGAGAGUGGAAUUCCUGGUGUAGCGGUGAAAUGCGCAGAUAUCAGGAAGAACACCGAUGGCGAAGGCAGCUCUCUGGGACGGUACUGACGCUGAGACGCGAAAGCGUGGGGAGCGAACAGG